GAUGAACGCUGGCGGCGUGCUUAACACAUGCAAGUCGAGCGAAGCACUGGUUUUGAUCUUUUCGGAGUGAAGGACCUUUGACUGAGCGGCGGACGGGUGAGUAACGCGUGGGGAACCUGCCCCAUACCGGGGGAUAACAGAUGGAAACGUCUGCUAAUACCGCAUAAGCGCACGAGGAGGCAUCUCUUUGUGUGAAAAACUCCGGUGGUAUGGGAUGGACCCGCGUCGGAUUAGCCAGUUGGCGGGGUAACGGCCCACCAAAGCGACGAUCCGUAGCCGGCCUGAGAGGGCGACCGGCCACAUUGGGACUGAGACACGGCCCAAACUCC
RNAcentral lists this ribosomal RNA (329 nucleotides) under uncultured Ruminococcus sp. Its description in RNAcentral is "bacterial SSU rRNA". It matches the Rfam family "Bacterial small subunit ribosomal RNA", at positions 28 to 339 of the family's 1533-position model. Lineage: Bacteria; Bacillati; Bacillota; Clostridia; Eubacteriales; Oscillospiraceae. The record is from RNAcentral.